This 371-nucleotide unclassified non-coding RNA is filed under the name uncultured Actinomycetes bacterium. Its description in RNAcentral is "uncultured actinobacterium contains 16S-23S intergenic spacer region". The record is from RNAcentral. Lineage: Bacteria; Bacillati; Actinomycetota; Actinomycetes.
UCCGGUUUGUCACCGGCAGUCUCCCUAGAGUGCCCUUGCGUAGCAACUAGGGACAAGGGUUGCGCUCGUUGCGGGACUUAACCCAACAUCUCACGACACGAGCUGACGACAGCCAUGCACCACCUGCACACAGGCCACAAGGGAACCGACAUCUCUACCAGCGUCUGGCGCAUGUCAAACCCAGGUAAGGUUCUUCGCGUUGCAUCGAAUUAAUCCGCAUGCUCCGCCGCUUGUGCGGGCCCCCGUCAAUUCCUUUGAGUUUCAGCCUUGCGGCCGUACUCCCCAGGCGGGGAACUUAAUGCGUUAGCUGCGGCACGGAAUCCGUGGAAUGGACCCCACACCUAGCGCCCAACGUUUACGGUGUGGACUAC